RNAcentral lists this ribosomal RNA (492 nucleotides) under uncultured bacterium. Its description in RNAcentral is "partial 16S ribosomal RNA". It matches the Rfam family "Bacterial small subunit ribosomal RNA", at positions 38 to 507 of the family's 1533-position model. The record is from RNAcentral.
AGGGAAAGAGGGAGGGAGGAAGAACACAGGCAAGUCGAACGGAAGCACAGUAAGAGCUUGCUCUUAAGGGUGGCGAGUGGCGGACGGGUGAGGAAUACAUCGGAAUCUACUUUUUCGUGGGGGAUAACGUAGGGAAACUUACGCUAAUACCGCAUACGACCUACGGGUGAAAGCAGGGGAUCUUCGGACCUUGCGCGAUUGAAUGAGCCGAUGUCGGAUUAGCUAGUUGGCGGGGUAAAGGCCCACCAAGGCGACGAGCCGUAGCUGGUCUGAGAGGAUGAUCAGCCACACUGGAACUGAGACACGGUCCAGACUCCUACGGGAGGCAGCAGUGGGGAAUAUUGGACAAUGGGCGCAAGCCUGAUCCAGCCAUACCGCGUGGGGGAAGAAGGCCUUAGGGUUGUAAAGCCCUGUUGUUAUGAAAGAAAAGCAGCAGGUUAAUACCCCGCUGUUCUGACGGUACCCAAAGAAUAAGCACCGGCUAACUUCGUG